GGGUGAGUAACACGUGGGCAAUCUGCCCUGCACUCUGGGACAAGCCCUGGAAACGGGGUCUAAUACCGGAUACUGACCCUCGCAGGCAUCUGCGAGGUUCGAAAGCUCCGGCGGUGCAGGAUGAGCCCGCGGCCUAUCAGCUAGUUGGUGAGGUAAUGGCUCACCAAGGCGACGACGGGUAGCCGGCCUGAGAGGGCGACCGGCCACACUGGGACUGAGACACGGCCCAGACUCCUACGGGAGGCAGCAGUGGGGAAUAUUGCACAAUGGGCGAAAGCCUGAUGCAGCGACGCCGCGUGAGGGAUGACGGCCUUCGGGUUGUAAACCUCUUUCAGCAGGGAAGAAGCGAAAGUGACGGUACCUGCAGAAGAAGCGCCGGCUAACUACGUGCCAGCAGCCGCGGUAAUACGUAGGGCGCAAGCGUUGUCCGGAAUUAUUGGGCGUAAAGAGCUCGUAGGCGGCUUGUCACGUCGGUUGUGAAAGCCCGGGGCUUAA
Molecule: ribosomal RNA, 495 nt
Filed under: Streptomyces mutabilis
Lineage: Bacteria; Bacillati; Actinomycetota; Actinomycetes; Kitasatosporales; Streptomycetaceae
Description: bacterial SSU rRNA
Rfam family: Bacterial small subunit ribosomal RNA
Source: RNAcentral